This 253-nucleotide ribosomal RNA is filed under the name uncultured bacterium. RNAcentral describes it as "partial 16S ribosomal RNA". It matches the Rfam family "Bacterial small subunit ribosomal RNA", at positions 524 to 776 of the family's 1533-position model. The record is from RNAcentral.
UACAGAGGGGGCAAGCGUUAUUCGGAAUUAUUGGGCGUAAAGGGCGCGUAGGCGGCUUUGCAAGUGACGGGUGAAAUCCCUCGGCUUAACCGAGGAACUGCCUGUCAGACUGCAUGGCUUGAGACCGGGAGAGGUGAGUAGAAUUCCCAGUGUAGCGGUGAAAUGCGUAGAUAUUGGGAGGAACACCAGUGGCGAAGGCGGCUCACUGGACCGGUACUGACGCUGAGGCGCGAAAGCGUGGGGAGCAAACAGG